AGAUUUCACUCUUCUAAUAUCCUCUCUUUAUCUGCCCUAUACAAUUCUCAUCCUGCUUUGGUACUGUAAGAGCUCGAGGUGGCAUCUUUGUUUGGGUAUGAGGAAAAGCUUAUUGGAUUACUUAAAAUGUCGAACCCGACAUAGGACAUCUAUCCCUUGAUAGGAGAAAAUUCUCAGAAGAGUCAGUGGUGAAGAUUUGUUAUCCAAAUUGGCGUUGUUGUUUAUUUUCAAUGUUACUGAACCUUAGGCGACUGAAGUGACUAUCUUUCUUCCUGAUGCUAAAGCUGAAGUUAGAAAAUCAAAGUUGUCAACUCAGGUUUUAUAUUGGCCUAUAGGAGCAUACUCCAUUAUUGGUUAAUCUAUGUAAUGAAUUUGUGCAAUAUAUUUACGCAAAGUCUCAUCUAUGCGACUGUGAAAGCUUUAAAUCGAAGCAAAUUCUAAAUGGAGAAGUAGGGCUAAAAUUAGUAGCAUGCAAGGGAUGGAAGUUUGGCCAUCACUACCACUUUAAAAGGAUACUACAAACUACUGGACAAGAUACCUAGGUUGAGCUCGGAUGGUAACUCAGUGGUGAGGUGGGAUGGUGGGAAAGCUUCUGGCUAGAAUAUGCUUUGUUUGGAGUUUGUUUCGUAUGAAUAGUGCAACGCCAUCUUCAGAGUCCAAGAGUACCCCUAUAAUGUGGUGUUACAUUAAUUCCAUGGAGUUGAACCAUUUCUCCCUUUCUUGUGGAAAACCUUAAUUGUCAUCUUUCUUUCAAAAUACUAUUUGAGACAUUGCAUUGGGAAUUUUCAGGUGGAACAACCAUCAUGCUUGCAAGCAUGAGCAGAGAAUAAGAUAGUGGUGCUCACUAAAAGCCGAGUGUUGACAGGUAUUGAGCUAACAAUGGGCUUAAGCUCCUUUUGUUGCCUUGAUUUUGAAACACGUAAAUAAUUUUUAUUUGUCAGUAAACAGAAGAUGUUAAGUUCUGCUAGAAUUUGGAGAAAGUUGUGUAGCACGAACUUGAAAACUUAAACCCAGUGAGCAUCCUUUUGGUGGCCAACAUGUGGAUUCAUCUGCCCGAGGAGGGGCUAUGACAGCUGUCUUAUCUCGAGCAUUUUGAUUGUAUGGUAGUAAAUGUAGAUGGUGUCCACAAUGACAAGUCUAUGAUGCUUCCAUUUAUAAGCGCAUUCAAGCUUUGACAAAUGCUAAAAUUGUACGGGAAGUAGAUUGCUGCGCGAUACUCUUGUAAAGGUGCUUAACUGCCUGCAUCUCACAUUUGAAUAUUCAUUGAUGGACCGGUUUAUUCCCUUUGUCAUUGGUGAAGGUGUCAAUUUGUUCCAUAUAAAGUUCAUAUGUAGCUGCUUUGAUUGAUUUUGUUGCCUUUGCUCUCUUUUCCUUUCGUGUUUUUCUGCUUAAUAAGUGAUUGCAGGAAGGCAGGUAAACAAAAUGAUGUAUUACUACGCAACUAUGGUUGUUCAAGUGAAAGAUGCCUACUGCUUGCUGAGUUUUAGUGAUAGUAUUACCACACAUCACAUUCAUCAGCUGGAAGCAUUCAUGCUGAUCAUCUUAUAUAGCGGGGUGUGUUAAUCCAUGGGCUUCAACUCAGAUGGAAGCCAAGAUCGAAGCCAUCGUGAAGACGAGAAAAUUUUGGCUAGGGGUACUUUUGCCCACAAUCUCCUUGAAAACAAGUUGUUAAAUGAGGAAGUUGGCCAAAAGGCAAUUCACAUUUCCACAGGAGAAUUUUAUAAUAUAGAAAGUUUUGUAGUAGGGAGUGGAAGUUGUAAUUGCUAAAAAGGCUUUGAUCGUUUCUUACUACAAUUCACUAAAUUAGAUGGGAGAAUUAGUGUUCUCUUAGCUUCUCAAAUCAGAUAUAUAUGUGUAGAUUAAUUUAGCCAUUAGGAGACCAAAGCUUGGAUUCUCUUCUGCAGUUCCGUCAUUUUGAAUCUUUUUUUUAAUCA
Non-coding RNA from Nicotiana tabacum (common tobacco), 1934 nucleotides. NCBI's taxonomy places the organism in Eukaryota, Viridiplantae, Streptophyta, Magnoliopsida, Solanales, Solanaceae. The record is from RefSeq and is a predicted model, not a curated record.